Molecule: non-coding RNA, 1862 nt
Organism: Taeniopygia guttata (zebra finch)
Lineage: Eukaryota; Metazoa; Chordata; Aves; Passeriformes; Estrildidae
Source: RefSeq, a predicted model, not a curated record
UAAGCAGUUCUGUGUAUAACUGUCUGAAGAGGUAAUCAUCACAUUUAGGAUUAUAGCUAUACUUCCUGCUAGCUUGACAGAAUUCUUCAUUUUCAGUUUGAUAAUAAGAACAACUUCUUCCUUAGCAAGUUCUGCUGGUUAAAUUUAUUGUGACUGUGAUAGAGACUUCUCAGAAGUAGCGUUUGCACUCAGGUUUGACUGAGUGUUUGAUUGCAAUCUAGUUUUUUGAAAUGGCAUUAACAGAUUGUGGGAAUAGUUUCCUAAAAUCCCAUUACGGGAUGACAAGGAACUGUAUAAGGAUAAUACAAUGCACAGCAAGGCAAAAUUAAUAAAUUCAGAAUAUCUAAUGCAGCCUGAUUUUAAGAAGAGUCUCUAGGGAAUAGGUAGCAAAAUGUUUGACAGUUUGUACUGCAUGUAAUAUUAUUGGAGCAUCAAGAGGCCCUAUAGCUUGUAUUUCUCUAAUGACAACUACUACUUGUGUAAAAUUUGUGUCCCUUAUAAUUAUCCUGGUGCUUAUUAUGUAGGUAUAUAUGUUGCUCUGACAAUAAUACUAAAAAAGUCUGCAGGCAUUGUGAAAGAUUGCAUUGUACAUAGUGGUAUCAAUGAAAUGAAUAUAUCUUCAUAAUAAAAAGUACAACACAUUAAAUUUACAACAAUGAAAUAUUUUUCUUUCAAUUUUUUUAUAUAUAUGGGACAUGGGCAGCACAGACAAAAAGGCUUCUUGUACAAGUUUUUGCUCGUGUCCUUGUGAAAUUCCAGAGCAAAAAAGUUACUUACAUGAAUUUUAUAUGUCAGAAUUCAAUAAAAGUUGUCAUUAAUGACUAGCUAAAUAUGUUUGCCUUCCUUAUGACCUUUGUGUGCUUGCAUAGACAGUGAAUAUAUGCCAGCAUAUCUGAUUGGGGUUAAGCGCAACAUGAUUUAGAUUUGACUUGCUUUAGCACUUUACACAAAUAAUUUCAUUGCCUCAAGCCUGUCAGUUAUUCCUUGUGGUGAAAGGCUUGUGACCAUGUACUUAAUAGACUGUUGGAAGUUCUGUGAGUAAAAUUUUAGCACCUUUGUCAAUUCUGAUGUCUUCUGGUCUGUCCUCCAAAUGGUAUGUGCAUCUUUAUUUUGGUAAACUUUGUAGUACUAUUUCUGUACUAGUUUAUAAUUUAAUAUUGGUAUUGAUAUUAUUCAAAGAGAAAAAUCAUUUGGGCUGAAAAUAUUAACCUUAUUUGACUUUUCUGAAAUGUCAUAGGUAUAAUAGCAAUAAUAAUUUUAAACAAUGUGUAGUGUUACAAUAGAAUCAAUAAUUUUGAGGUGUGUUAAUUUCAAUUUUCAGUUUCAUCUGAGGAAUAAGAAAAAAUGGGGUUAUAGAGAUGUUCAGCAAUCUAUCCCUCUCUGGUAACUACAGAAAACUGUCUAAGGGAUCAGACAAAAGUAUGUCAUCUCAGUUUAACAGCAGAAAUAAUAUAAUCAUUCUUUCCCCCAUGUGUUGCCACCAAAAAAAAAAACAACAAAACAAAACAAAACAAAAAACAAACCAAAAAAACACCCCAAAAAACCCCAAAGCAAAACAAAAAAAAACCCCUUUUCCUUAUGGAAUCAUGACACUUUCCAAUGGAAAACCAAAACACUUCAGUGAAAUUAUUAUUUUCCCUUGGCCAAAAAUUUGAAUAUAGAUUCAAGACUUGUCAUUCUAGCAUACAUCUAGUCUUUUUGUGGGGAACUGCCCUUACAUGACAGAAGAAUCCUGAAAUAUUGGAAUUAAGGCUCCUAAUCAACAAGCUGUACUUAAACAAGCCUCUCAUUUGGCUUUAUCCUCAUUAGUGACUGACCCAAAUUAUACGUACCACACUCCAGUGGCUCUCUGACACCAAAAA